UCCUCGUUUAAGCGAGGCAGUCUCCUUAGAGUGCUCUUGCGUAGCAACUAAGGACAAGGGUUGCGCUCGUUGCGGGACUUAACCCAACAUCUCACGACACGAGCUGACGACAGCCAUGCAGCACCUGUGUAUCGGUUCUCUUUCGAGCACCCCCACCUUUCAGCAGGGUUCCGACCAUGUCAAGGGUAGGUAAGGUUUUUCGCGUUGCAUCGAAUUAAUCCACAUCAUCCACCGCUUGUGCGGGUCCCCGUCAAUUCCUUUGAGUUUUAAUCUUGCGACCGUACUCCCCAGGCGGUCAACUUCACGCGUUAGCUAC
Molecule: unclassified non-coding RNA, 316 nt
Filed under: uncultured Gammaproteobacteria bacterium
Lineage: Bacteria; Pseudomonadati; Pseudomonadota; Gammaproteobacteria
Description: contains 16S-23S intergenic spacer region
Source: RNAcentral